CAGCUAGGUUCGGAAGCACAUAUACUAAAAUUGGAACCAUACAGAGAAGAUUAGCAUGGCCCCUGUGCAAGCAUAACAUGCAAAUUUGUGAAGUGGUCCAUAUUUCU
Small nuclear RNA from Microtus ochrogaster (prairie vole), 107 nucleotides. The record is from Ensembl. Lineage: Eukaryota; Metazoa; Chordata; Mammalia; Rodentia; Cricetidae.